This 66-nucleotide transfer RNA is filed under the name Etisus anaglyptus. Its description in RNAcentral is "tRNA-Phe". The record is from RNAcentral. Lineage: Eukaryota; Metazoa; Arthropoda; Malacostraca; Decapoda; Xanthidae.
AUUUACAUAAUUUAAAAAUAGAAUAUUGCAUUGAAGCUGCAAAAGAGGUCAAACGAUCUGUAAAUG